UGGGGAAUUUUCCGCAAUGGGCGAAAGCCUGACGGAGCAACGCCGCGUGAGGGAUGAAGGCCUCUGGGCUGUAAACCUCUUUUAUCUAGGAAGAAGAUCUGACGGUACUUGAUGAAUAAGCCACGGCUAAUUCCGUGCCAGCAGCCGCGGUAAUACGGGGGUGGCAAGCGUUAUCCGGAAUUAUUUGGCGUAAAGCGUCCGCAGGCGGUCUUGUAAGUCUGUCGUUAAAGCGUGGAGCUUAACUCCAUUUCAGCGAUGGAAACUGCAAGACUAGAGUGUGGUAGGGGCAGAGGGAAUUCCCGGUGUGGCGGUGAAUUGCGUAGAUAUCGGGAAUAACACCAGUGGCGAAGGCGCUCUGCUGGGCCAUAACUGACGCUCAUGGACGAAAGCCAGGGGAGCGAAAGGGAUUAGAUACCCCUGUAGUC
RNAcentral lists this ribosomal RNA (425 nucleotides) under uncultured cyanobacterium. RNAcentral describes it as "bacterial SSU rRNA". It matches the Rfam family "Bacterial small subunit ribosomal RNA", at positions 355 to 795 of the family's 1533-position model. Lineage: Bacteria; Bacillati; Cyanobacteriota. The record is from RNAcentral.